Long non-coding RNA from Parus major (Great Tit), 1121 nucleotides. RefSeq lists it as uncharacterized. Lineage: Eukaryota; Metazoa; Chordata; Aves; Passeriformes; Paridae. The transcript has 3 exons. The record is from RefSeq and is a predicted model, not a curated record.
ACACCGGGAUCCGGCAUUCCCUCCGCUAUUCCCGGGGCCGCCCGGGUUCCCCAUUCCCUCCGCUAUUCCCGGGGGCCGCCCGGGUUCCCCAUUCCCUCCGCUAUUCCCGGGGCCGCCCGGGUUCCCCAUUCCCUCCGGUAUUCCCGGGGCCGCCCGGGUUCCCCAUUCCCUCCGCCGUUCCCCGGGGCCGCCCGGGUUCCCCAUUCCCUCCGCUAUUCCCGGGGGCCGCCCGGGUUCCCCAUUCCCUCCGCCGUUCCCGGGGCCGCCGGGGCAGCGCCGCAGAGCUCCGCAAACAGCCUGGACACGGCAGCCCAGGAGUUUUCCCCUUUUCCUCAUGUAGAAAGGGGGUACGUGGGGGCACAGAGGGUCGUGGUACAGCUCAGAGUUGAUUUUUCCAGAAUAUUGGAACAGCAGUCAGCUCUCCGUUCAAAUUGGCAAGAAACGGUGAAUAGAGAGGUUUAUGGUUGAAAGCUCUUGUGCAUUCCUGGUGAAGGGAAGUUUAAACACACCACUCGCUAUUUCAGAAGAAGAGGGGAAGGCAGGACUUCGUUCUUCUCCUGACUGUGUCCAGAUCUAUGCCAUAAUUUGAAAAUGGUGUUUGCAAACAUUUUCAACAUCUACUGAACAAACCAGACCACAGAUACUUUGUUCAAUGUGCAAGGCUCAUCACCAGCAGCACCCACACUUCUGCAGGGACAGAUGCACUGGUCAGACCAGGUGACUGCAUCAGCAGAAGCUGCACACACACAGCUCCAGGAGAAAAAUCAGGGAGAUUGACUAGCCUCUCCAACUAAUAACAGUGACAGAAAACAGAGCAUCAGAGAAGAAUUUAUUGAUCCCUCAUUACCAGGGAAUGUGAAAAAAUAGGAUGAAACCACAAGAAGAAAUAAAAUAUAUUGGCCCAAUGUAAAGGAUGUCACACAGACAAGUCAGAGAUUAAAACCAAACAAGAGAGUUUCUGGGACAUCAAAAACUCAUAGGAAUGUUUGAAUAAUAUGUAAACUCGUGAAUAUGCAUGUAACCCCAGCAAUGUAACAGUAUAUAGAGAAUAUUGUUUUAGGUUAAAGGUGUGUAUUUUGGUCAGUCACCAAAAACACCCCAGUGCUGGAUAUUUGUUCUUU